AUCACCUUCUUUAUUGUAAAGGGCUCUCUGCGGUGAAAGUGCAGUUUUUUAUCAUGGGCUCUUAACGGACAUUGUGGCCGUUCAUCUGCGCAAACUCUGGAGUGUGAAAGAGGGGGUGUGGCCGGAGCGGAGCGGCAGGUGUGGGUGAUUCAGGUGAUGAGCUGGAGCCGCUGCCGCUCAACCCGCCAGUUCAACCGGCCGCCAUGAGGACGCGGAGCUGAACCCCAGGUUUAUUGCCAGGGCCCAGGACCAGUUGUUGCUGUAGCGCUCUCUUUGGAGGAAAGUAGCAUCAGGUUGUCUCCAUAGAGCAGGACUGUGUUGAUGCCUCUACAAACUGUUGGAAUAACCUUCCCAUCCAUGCACAGGGGAAUUCAUCCCAAACCAGAUGUGGCAGGUGGGAUUCCUGAGCAGUCCUGUACUUCCCCCAAAAACAUGCAGGUAUUUGCCAUGAUGGAAUUCCCCUGAUGUCAGGUUUGUAGUUGGUUAUACAUCUGCUGCUUUAAAUAACAAAUGUUUUGCUGUAUUAACUGAAACAAAACUGUUAUGUUUUGUUCUUGUGCAAUUACUUAGGUAACAGAGUAUGUUGGUGUAUGAACAUUUUUUUUUACCCCAAUUUUAACAAAAAAAAAAAUCAUUUUCCAAUUGCUGUAUUGACAUGAAAAGGAAUAAUUAAUUCAAGAGAAUGUUUAAUGAAACUGCCUGAGAAAUCCCCUGCCAUAUUCUCUCAACUAUCUACUCUUUACCUCAUUCAAUCUUAGUUAAUAUUUUUCUUUCUUUAACGCUUAGCUAACCUCUCUUUUUUACUCGCUCACUCUUGGCUGACCUUUCUUCCUUGCAUACUUUUAGCUGACCUCUCUCUCUAAGAGUAAGUCAGUUAGAGUGAGAGACAUUAGCUAAGAGUAUGCGAGAUUAGAGAAAGAGACAAUAACUAAGAGUGAGUGAAAGAGAGAUGUUGGCUAAGAGUGAGUGAAUAUUUCUCUUAACUCACUCCCCUUUAGCUAAUGACUUUCUCCAAAUUGAUCACUCUUAUGUAAACACUCUCACUCUUAGCUAACCCCAUCUGUCUCUUUAACUCCCUCCCUCUUAGCGAACCUCCCCAUCCCUCUCUUGCUCACUCUUAGUCAAGGUCUCUACUACAGUCUGACUGGCUGCAAACACUGCUCAAUUUAAUAACUGAAAACAACUACUGUUUAAUUUAAUAAUGAAAUCUAUGUAAAACAAAUAAUUAGCAUCAACUGAUGAACUGUGAUUCAUGCUGGUUAGUGUCCGUCACAAUGGCGUUGUAGCGGCAGGCGGUGUGGCAGCAGCUCAAUCUGCCUGCCGCUAUCCUCCAUAGCCCACCUUUCCAUCUUGGCCACACCCCCAUCUCUUUUGUUGCAAGAUUCAUCCUAAAAAAUUGGAAGUGUAUGUCAUGUUCUCUUCAUGUUAACCCCAAAGCCCAAUUUGACUGCAUACCUGAGCCUGACUUGACCUGCCCCAUAGACUGGGGGCUGGAGGGGCACUGGUGAUGGCGCUCUCUCAAACCGUCCCUUUCUCAGCCAUUUCUGGCAUUGUACAGUCUGCAUGGUGAAGUCUGUCUGAAAAGCAUAUGCAGGGACAAAGGAACACUGACAGAGUUUGGCAUGAGCCUCCAGGACCUCCAUAAAAUUCUGGAGGCCUUUAUGGAUUUGCUUCAACAUUGGCAUCAAGUGCAAAGUUGCAUGCUGCACCGUACAGUACAGAAUACAAAAUAUUUUACUUGUUAUCCGCCUUUUAUUCUGUUCAACUCCCAGGACUACUAGAGAGCAGGUUUAAUUUGGGUGGUGGGUCAUUCUCAGCACUGCAGCAACACUGGCGUCAGCACAACCCGCACUACUAACACCACCACCAGGCCAGUGUCAUUUUAGUGCUGAGAAUGACCCACCAACCCUAUAAUAGCUGGUCUGGGGUGGUCCUGUGGGGUCCUUACUAGGGAUGGGAAUCACAGGGCAACUCAAUUUAAUAUUGCGGCAUUGUCCACAAGAACAUCACAAUACUGUGAUUCUGCAAUACAAGAUAUUUCACAGCAUCUGUUACUGAAGAGGAUAAAAUACUUAAAAGCAAAUACCAGCAAUUAGUGUCAGUUUUACAGAAUGGAACAACCAAUAUUAUUUUUUACAGGUUUACCUUAUUAAUUUCAUUAGUGCCAGCACAUGAAGUAAUGUAACUUUAGUUAUGAGUCAUAAGGAGCUUAGAACACCAGUUGUCAAAUUGAUAUAUAUAUAUAUUGCAAUUUCGAUAUUGUCCCACUCAUAGUCACGACCAUUGAAGAACAGGGUAAGAUAUUAUGCAAAGAAACAGAACUACAACAGUGUGUGAUCAUAGAACAAGUACUUCCCAAGUGCAGCUUUUUAUAUAUAUAUAUAUAUAUAUAUAUA
Astyanax mexicanus (Mexican tetra) is the source of this 2396-nucleotide long non-coding RNA. RefSeq lists it as uncharacterized. The record is from RefSeq and is a predicted model, not a curated record. NCBI's taxonomy places the organism in Eukaryota, Metazoa, Chordata, Actinopteri, Characiformes, Acestrorhamphidae. The transcript has 4 exons.